RNAcentral lists this ribosomal RNA (405 nucleotides) under uncultured bacterium. Its description in RNAcentral is "partial 16S ribosomal RNA". It matches the Rfam family "Bacterial small subunit ribosomal RNA", at positions 28 to 526 of the family's 1533-position model. The record is from RNAcentral.
GAUGAACGCUGGCGGCGUGCCUAAUACAUGCAAGUCGAGCGCAGCGGGGACGGGGGAGUAACACGUAGAUAACCUCCUCUAAGCCUGGGAUAACUUCGGGAAACAGACGCUAAACCGGAUACUUAUAGAUGGCUCCUCGCUGCAUUAGCUAGUUGGUAAGGUAACGGCUUACAAAGGCAACGAUGCAUCGCCGACCGCAGAGGGUGGUCGGCCACACUGGAACGGAGACACGGUCCAGACUCCUACGGGAGGCAGCAGUAGGGAAUCUUCCGCAAUGGGCGAAAGCCUGACGGGGCAACCCCGCGGGAGUGAUGAGGGUCUUCGGAUCGUAAAACUCUGGUAUUAGGGAAGCGGUACCGAAUCAGAAAGCCACGGCUAACUACGUGCCAGGAGCCGCGGUAAUUC